UUUACAUAGAGUUUGAUCCUGGCUCAGGACGAACGCUGGCGGUGCGCCUAAUGCAUGCAAGUCGAACGGGCGAAGGGGCUUCGGCCCCCUAGCUAGUGGCAGACGGCUGAGUAACACGUAAGUAACCUACCCCGAAGCGGGGGAUAAACUCGAGAAAUCGGGUCUAAUACCCCGUAAGUUCUUCGCACUUCGAUGCGAAGUAGAAAGGUUUCGACCGCUUUGGGAGGGGCUUGCGGCCUAUCAGGUAGUUGGUGGGGUAAUGGCCUACCAAGCCUCAGACGGGUAACCGGUGUGAGAGCACGAUCGGUCAGAGGGGGACUGAGACACGGCCCCCACUCCUACGGGAGGCAGCAGCAGGGAAUCUUGCGCAAUGGGCGAAAGCCUGACGCAGCGACACCGCGUGGGGGAAGAAUGCUUUCGAGUUGUAAACCCCUUUUCCCGGGGAAGAGAGAGGACGGUACCCCAG
RNAcentral lists this ribosomal RNA (466 nucleotides) under SAR202 cluster bacterium. Its description in RNAcentral is "bacterial SSU rRNA". It matches the Rfam family "Bacterial small subunit ribosomal RNA", at positions 1 to 483 of the family's 1533-position model. Lineage: Bacteria; Bacillati; Chloroflexota; Dehalococcoidia. The record is from RNAcentral.